This 209-nucleotide ribosomal RNA is filed under the name uncultured bacterium. RNAcentral describes it as "partial 16S ribosomal RNA". It matches the Rfam family "Bacterial small subunit ribosomal RNA", at positions 568 to 775 of the family's 1533-position model. The record is from RNAcentral.
UGCGUAGGCGGUCGGAUAAGUUUGAUGUGAAAUCUCCGGGCUUAACCCGGAAACUGCAUUGAAUACUAUUCGGCUUGAGGUCUGGAGGGGGGACGUGGAAUUCUCGGUGUAGCAGUGAAAUGCGUAGAUAUCGAGAGGAACACCAGUGGCGAAGGCGAGUCCCUGGACAGGUCCUGACGCUGAGGCACGAAAGCUAGGGGAGCAAACGG